This is a long non-coding RNA of Columba livia (rock pigeon), 8486 nucleotides long. RefSeq lists it as uncharacterized. The record is from RefSeq and is a predicted model, not a curated record. The transcript is spliced from 3 exons. NCBI's taxonomy places the organism in Eukaryota, Metazoa, Chordata, Aves, Columbiformes, Columbidae.
AGGUUGAAAGCAUCUGACAAGCAUCAACUAAUUAUGCUAUUUAGAAUAAAACUGAGUGGGGCUCAUCUACAUAGCUAUAGACAAGCUAGUUACUCUUGUCUCCCUUUCAGUCAAAUGGCAUCUGGGCAAUAUAGACACGAGAGUCUAGGGCACUGUUCAUCUCACCCUAAAGCAGCCACCUAAAAUAGGUCAGAUAUCUGUAACCCAAAAACUUAUUUUUCUCUCUACAGACUGUAAACUGAGUCUACUCUUAACUGUAACCAUAGGACAAUUUAGAUAGACAAACCUGAGUGAGAAUAAUUCUGUGUCCUGUAUCAAUUAUAUUCAGCUCAGUUAUAUCCAGCUAAGAAAGCAACAGUUUCAAGAAUUUAAAUGGCCUGGAGAAGGAAUAAGAAAUUUCAGAUGUACAACAGAAUAUAGCCCAACAAGUAUUCCUGAGCAAUACGCUUCUCCUGUUAAAUUCAGCAAAUGGAUUGAAUAUUUGCUGUUCUUACUGUGAUUAUUAGUUUCUAACAGACCUGUUUGCUCAACUCCUCAGGGGUUUUGUUUCACGUUACAAAUGAUGAUCCUAGUCUCUUCACACCAAAAUACUGAUAACAUUAGCUGUUUUAACUGUCCAUCAAAUGUGAUCUGAUGGUCAAAACUGAUAGUCCCUAUACUCUUCCAAACUAAAUCAUUGUCGUUGUUGUAUUUUGUGCCAUUCAAAUAUCCUGCAUAUCUGCUUCUUUUACAAGAAAUCAUGUUCAUUUUUUAGGGGGGAAAAAAAAAUCUACUUACGAAGAGGAGUCAUGAAGAAGCAGCUGACAUGUGUUGCUUUACAUCUGCCACAGGAUUGAAAUCUUUCAGGCAGGAAAUAUAACCAUCUGAAAGUCUGGAUGACAAACAGCAUCACAACAGCAGACACGGGGCUCAAUGUUUACCAUUUCACCUGGGACUAGCAGUAGAGCAGAAGCCUGCACCCUGUCAUCCCUCUGCAGAAUGCUGAAUCACAACCCUGGGCUGAUCCCUCUUCCCAGCUCUACUUGCCGCUCAUUCCUGGAACACUCCCUAUACCCCACGGAAAUUCAUUUCCUUGCAUGAUUCAUAAAUUCCUUUAUAACCAUAUAGGGCUUUGGUGCCAUUAUGUGCAUUUUUUCCUUUUUAAUUUGGGCCAACUUCCUCAUUUUUUAUCAACUUGAAUUUUGCAGUCCCUGUUGUGGUAUUUUUCCAUUCUGCUAGCAUUGAAAAGAUAAGGAAAUAUAUAUGAGUGAACACAUUAUGUAUGUAGCUUGAUUUUAUAGAAAUGAAUUUAUUGCUAGAAAAGGUGCCAGAACUGGCAGUCAUGCCAUCUGAAGCCCUUCAUUCCCCGUCAGAGCAAGCAAUAUAAAGAUUAAAUGCUCUGUAAUAAUGAAGUGCAAGCUCCCUCUAAACACCUCUCAAUUUGGUCUCAAUGUUGGACCUUUGAUGAAGAAAGAGAUCACACCAUGAGUAAGAGUUAAGAAUAACUGGUAGGAAUGCCAAGGGAGAAAGGCACAUUUUGAGUACAAAUCACAGAAUUUACCUUACAAAGAAUACAAGCCCAAUCCCUAGAAGUGCUGGAGAUUUGUGAACUGAAUGUUGAAUUCAUCUUUCUUCAAACAUUGGGUAAAAUACACAUAAUUACUAAAACAAUCUCAUGUGAGAUAGGGGAAUAAAAAAACUGUAAAAAGCAGAAAAAAAGAAAAUGGACAGUCUACUGGUCUGUCUGCGAUGUUUGCUGAUGAAAGUGUUACCUCAGAUAAUGAUGCCUUCUGAGGAAACAGGCUGAAACUCCCAUGCCAUUUGACAUUAAAUGUCAAGAAACCAUCCACUGGACCAGUUUCUCAUACUCAUCAUUCUGCUUUGCAUUUCACUUGCUGCCAUUUGGUCCUCAGAAAUCACCCACUGAACAUUUGCCUUUGAAGCGCUCCACCUUCUCCUGUGUGGCAUGAGUGACUUCUUGGGUCUCUCUCAAUUCUCCACAGACAGCUUAUGAAAUCUGCAAGUUCCUUUUUUUUUGUGCGUGUGUAAGUGUGUGUGUGUCUGUGUGUGUAGAACUGCUGCAACAUUUUAUGUUCAAGCCAGCAACCUUGGAGGGAAAGGACUGCAGUUCUAAUAGCAAACACAACAAUGAUGGACAAAUGCUCCGAGUAUGGCAAAUCUGCAUUCAACCCAUUUCACACACAGAGGAGAUACUUCAUACCCUGUAGACACUCAUUAUCUCAGACUUUCUUUAGGUAGGCUUUCUUUUUUCUUUUACUAUAUUUGAUUCACAAUGUACUAAACACUGGAGAAUUAUGCAGGAUUACAGUUUAUUGCAGCUCACAGCACAGUCUUGGACUCUCUGGAAAGUUUUCUCCGUCACCUAAGAUCAGUCACCACUUUUUGUGAAGGUCACUGUAUUUUAUAUUCAGUGUUUCUAUUAGACUCCCAGUCAAACAGUUUUGUUGCAUCUGGCUGGCAGUUAUGAUUGCAUUAUUUGAUAAAUCACUCAUAAAUCCUUUCUGUUAUGUUUGUGGUCCCUUUCAAGCAAGAGAACAUUCAUUGCUGAAUUCAGGGUUAUAAAGAUCAGAAAUUCCAUAAGAAAAAAAUAACACAAAUGUUAUAUUGCCAUUCUUAGGGAUAUAGCUGCUAAAUAUUUCUUUAAUGGAUUCUAGUGGAAAUAGUUUUUUACUUUUUGAAAGAAAGUCCAUUCUGCCUACUGUGCCUACUGUCUGGGUUAUCAUUUGAGAUAGUUUGCAGACCAUGAUAACUUCAAUAUAGUUUGGAUGAAUUCAUGGCACUGAAUAUUCAUACGGCAUAUGAUACAGACACUGAACCCAAUUUAGUAAAUGAAUACUUGUAAUUUCACCAAAGCCCCUCUGAGAGAUUAUUAUGCAGAUUUAUGAAGGAAUAUUGCUGAAGCAAUUCUUGGCUGUGUUUUCAGUCACUGAGGACUUAAAGUAUGUAAACCUAAAAUAAUUUCAGGCUUAUUUACUGUCACUGCUUUAAUCUUCUGAACUUUUCUGACAUUAUUUCUCUCACUGAUUUGUAUUAAGUAUCCCCUCCCUGUCCUUGGCCUUGAGCAAAGAGCCAGCAUCACAACACCUACAAGUGUUGCCAAGUUACUCCCAACAAUAUCCUUGCUGCCAUAAUGCCAGAAAUCUGUUCUAAUCCUGCUGUUGCAAAAUUGCAUUACAGGCAGGGGGAUGUAUGGACAUGGGCAUGUGGGUAGUAUCACUGACCUGGAAAUACAGAGAUCAAUACACAAUCAGAUUGUGAGCAGACUCCCGCAGCUCUUCUGUGUGAUGAAGAUUACCUCACUAUUUUGGGACCAUCCACCUCGUAAAAGAAAGAAUAAUCAGGCUAAGAAACAGUGGAGAUACUUGACCCAAUAGUAUAUUACAGCCCUUUAAAAUUCAGUAGGUGUGCUGUAUGUUGUUCUCCAAGUUGCCAAUUUUACAAGCAGCAUCUUUUUUUCAAGUGUCACAAACACACGUAUUUCUGCAGCACCCUCCAAGACCCACUGUAUCACCUUCAACUUCAUCCCUUUGGGUGUCAGAAAGAAAACGUAUAGCUACUUGCUAAAUGUCUCUUAAAAUAACAUCCGGCAUUAAAAUAACAUUCUCCAGCAUUGCUACCAAAAAUAAUAAUUAAGGAAAUAGAUCAGUAUCCCUCCCUGUAGCCAGUGUUACCUCUCCUGCCCCAGUCAUUAAGGGAAUUACUCACCCCUGGACUAGCUCAGUUUGUGAAUGGGCAUAGAGCCAGAUCCUGAAUCCUUAUUCAAAGAGCAUCAUUCAUUCCCCAGUCACAGGAAUCCUAGCUUACAUGAGAUGACAUGUGUAAAGUCUUUAGGAUGUGGCCCACAGUCUUCAGGAGGCGACAGCAGUAGUUAGAUUUUAGUGUGCUGUAAAUACCAUGCCUCUUCUCAGUUACAUUUCUUGGUAUACAAUAUAGUAACAUAUGCCACAUGGAAGUGAAUUGUAAAGGCCAACUUCUGCUCUUGGAUUCAGAUCUCCUUGACUUGCAGAGCAAGGGAGCCUGGUGACACCUGCAAGCAGUAAGUAACCAUGGCAAAGACUCCAUGGGGGAGCUGAGGGACAGAUCAGCAGAGGGUUUCUGGAGGUUUCUUGUGCUUCAUGUAAAUUGUCACACUGUGGCUUCUUUUAGCCAUGUUUUGUGUGGUGAGCAUGCACAUGGACAUCUUGAAGUCCUUUUAUAUAUCAUUAUGGAGUAGAAUAAGGCAAGUGAAGCCUUCAAAUCAAGAGGCUAGAAAAUCUGUGUGCCAGAGAGACAUAGCAAUAAAACAAAAGAGAUGGAGACAGAUGAUGAUGGGAAAGACUAAUAGAGCUAGUGCAAAGCACUUAUAUUUAUUUCCUUUUUUUAAAAAAAAAAAUAGUUUAUGAAUUUAUUUCAAGAUGUUUUCUUGUUUCAUUCUUCUCCAUUUUUCUUUCCAUUUCUUAUUUUUUCUUUGAUUCAUUUUCUGUCUUCAUUCCCUGAUCCUCUGUCUUUUUGUUCCUGUUACACUGUUCUUGAUCACCUGUCAAGUUAGAUUUGGGAAGAAGGAACUAUCUUCGAAAAUGUCAAAGAGUAACUGUGAAAAGACACAUAUUUGCACACUCUACAGGAAAUGUGUUCGACUCUACACAGAUAGAAUCUAAGAUACUGAGGUACAGAAAAGUAAUUAAAGAAAUCCUCCUCCUUUCUGCUCUGCAAUCACUGAACUAUCACUAUGACAAGUAAAGCAUGAGAUGGUUGAAAUUUAAGGAUGGACCCAACUGCUCAGCAUUGUAUGAAUGAAAAUAAUGAAAGCCAAGUCACAAUUUUUGGAGAGUGAGUCAUGGCUGCAAUGGACUUGACUAGACCAAUAGAUUUCACAUUUUCUUACUGUCAGGAAAUUCCACUUCACUUGCUGCAACCCUUCAAUAGGACCAAUAAGCAUUGCAAGGGUUGAAAGGUUAGAGAGGAGCUUCCCUCACGUGCUUCUGGGCCCUUAUCACCUUCUAAACAGAAUCAGUCAAAGUUCUGUGAACUGCAACAAGCAACACUACGGUUAACAUCUCAUUGCAAGGAGCUGAUGAUUUGUUCUGUAAAACAUCACCCCAAUCUUCUCUCGGGUGCCUUUUCCAAUACCCAUCUUGGAUAAAAAUACAAGGUUUGCAACAUCUGAAGGUAGAACUGACUGCGUCUGACUCACAACCCGCUUGGCUUGAGGAUCACAUGAUUUGUGGGUGCUAAUAAGCAGGAAUUUGAGGUGAUUCUCUCAGUAAGUUCAUUGCCUGGACUCCACCUGCUAGCUAUGAGGACAGACACCAUUUUGGAGCAUUUAGAAAGCUGGGCAUGGUGGGCAGAGUCUGGGAAGGCAGAGGUUUUUCAAAAUCAUGUAAAGAAUUUCAGUAGAACUCCAAUAUAAUUUCUCUACAUUUGUAAUGCAGCACUUUCAUGAAGUGUGGUCAAACAUUUAAAAUAUAGUAAUCCCAAGCAACAAUGAGAAGAUUGCAUUUAUUUACAGUAAAGCUCAUGCCUUACGGAUGCCAGCCUUCUAACUCCUGCUACAACCUGCUUUCCAGAUGCUCUUCAAAUGGACCAUGGAUAUUUUUGUCAAUGUCUUCUCCUCUAGAAAUUUACAGAAGGAAUUAUUAAGCUUAUACACUGGCUGAAUUUUUGGGGAGAUAUUCGUUUUACAGGACGUUAUUCUUGGCUCACAACACCAAGCUACAUUGGAGUUGCAACAGUCCACACAAUCGUAAGCCAAUGCUCAGCUCCAUCCAUCAUCUUCCAGGAACUCAAAUAGCUUCCCUGUGUGUGGUUUCCGACCUGAGCCAGCUCUGAACUAGGGGAGAGGCCUGGUGGAUGCUGUCUAUAGCCAACCACCCCUGCCAGCCACGUGUCCCAGCUAACGUGGUCAGAAUACAAGGCCUAGCCAAAGUUCUGCUGAUUCCUAAGCAGACUGGUGAACUCCAGCCCUGGAGCUGGUUCUUGCUUUAGCAAAGACUAAAGGAAAAUUGUUGGUAAUGUUCUGAAAGUGAAAGCUACAUUUUUGUUUGAAUAUGCACACAAUAGGAGGCAAUGAAGGAGGAAAUUCCAGCUACAGUACAUUUACAGUAAGUACGAAAUUGGUCUGCCCCCAGUAACUCAUCCAGCUCAAUAAAGUAAACCCCGCAAGCUGUCAUGCACAGGGAGUGUAGAAAUUAGAGAAAAAGAAAACACAAGAGCAUCCAAAGUCUACUUUCCUUCCACCAUUCAUUUCUAUCCAGUGAUCAUUUUAUGAUCUCCUUAAUUUCCGGGUUCAUUCAUCUACCAAAGCAGAACAAACCUUUUGCUCUUCAUUGAGGUCAGUCUGAAAGCUCUACUGUAUUGUCUGGCAUGAUGCAUGUAUACCCAAAGUAGGUAUUGUUUCAGAUGGUUUCAGUAAUGACAAACCAUAGAAUAUUAGCUGUACUUUUAAUUUUAAUGAGGUGCUUCUGUAAUGAAGACAGAAGCUUCAAUACACCACAGCAGUUUUGUAUCUAAUAAGUAUCUUCUUUCUAAAAACAAACAAACAAACAAAAACAACAACAACAAAAAACUCUUUGAGAAUUGAAAAACAAGUCUGAGGCAUCAUAUAUACGCAAAAUGUGUUACUAUAGAUUUCUUGGCAGUGUUUGUGAUAAAAAUGUAGCUUUCCUUUUGCCCAAAAGACGAAAAAGGAAAAAAUUGCAUGCAAACAUACUUCUAGAUAGAAAAGGUGCAGUCACAGUCUUGCCUGGGUCAUACAAUACCCACUGAGAUCUGUCCUAACUGAGGGUUUUACAGACCCUUUUGUUUGUAAAAAAUCUUUCUCAGACAAAUAAUGUGCUUUCUAGCGGAAACUCUCAAGGCUCUAGAACAUGCAAGCCUAACGCUCGCUCCUUUCCAUGAAAACUUCAGAGUGUGGAAAAAAAAUCAGUUAAUCAAAAAUUUAUGAAAAGUGGAAAUAGUAAUGUGAAUACAGCUGCAGGAAAUUCAUUUUAUAAUCUGAAUAGCUGCUCAAGAUUUUCUUAAUAAUAACCACCUAGUUUUAAUGGGGACAUUUUCAUAUUGCUCAUUCUAUAUUCCUGAAUAACCAUCUGAUACUUUGUUUGUUAGAAGUACUUGCGAUAUCAUUUAAAUGAAGCAAACCCCUUCAUUUUCUUUAUUUUUCAUCUCAACAAGAUUUGCCUUUUUUGACUCUGAAAAGCCUGUACACUUCUGCUAGUCAAUCCUCUCAAAAUGCUGUGUGAAGAUGUUCAGUAAAUCCCAAAUACACCUUACUAUCCCACUAACGCCAUCCAUCAUUGGUUGCUCUCCAAUAUCAAUCUUCUCCUGUCUCUAUUUGCACUUGGUACCAGAAGGAGCUUCGAGAAGGUGACCCGCAUGACUCCUAUCUUAAGCUAUCUGCUGUGGUCUCUGAAGUGAUUCAUGAUCAUAUCAAAUCUAUUUCCCCGGUGCUGUUUUGUCCUUAAGGCUUCGGCAAUUGCAGAGUCUGACUAGAGACUCCAAUCAACCAUCUGCUGUCUGCCAACUGUGGUGUCUAGUCAGGUUAUGCUGAAUGCAAAGAGAAAUGUGUUUUGUAUUUGAUGGUUAAUACACUCAUCUCUUCCCAUGGUCCAAGCAGAAUAUUAAGCAGUUGCAACUCUAAAUGGCUGGGAUGGCAGCAGAAGAAAACCUUAGUUUUAGAAAGAAUAUUUAAAGUCAGCUUUAAAGCUUGUCUGAAUGGAAGUGCUAGUAUUAAUAUAGUGUACACAGCAGCUUUCUACUAGCAAAGAAGGGAUUUAAUCAGUGACAGGACUUUUUCCAUCAGUUCUUUCUAGAAUUUUAUGAGCUGUUUAUAAUUGUAAUUUGCCUAUUUAUAUAUUAUUAGAACGUUGUUCACUUUUUUUCUUUAAACUCUGCUUGUCCCCCAAAUGAUACAAAAUAAAUACUAGAAGUCUGAAAAACUUAUUAUAUUCCUUUUGUCAAAUAUUUUUCAGAGCAGGCUGCGUCAAUCUGUGCCUUGCAUAGGUGUUUUACUCUGUGUGUUUUGAGAUGAACCUUCCUCUCUAGAUCUCUUCCCUUCUCCACUCCCAAGGAUACCACACCACUGGAAAUAUGGAUGCUUUUGCCAGACCCAGUCUUACUACAUUACUGCCACAUGAAAAGUCCUAUUAAUUGUAAGCCCUUAAUAAUAAGCUUCUUACUUAGCUGGUUUCCUUCUACCAUGACAAGUUUUAUCAAAGGCUUGCACAAUCACAGCAGCCAGGUACCUGAAGUGGCCAUUUCAGGAAUUAUUUUUCAAAGGUGGCAACUCUAUCUGCCUUGGUUCUGUGUUCUUCUAGCCAGAAGGCACUAAGGGCACGUCCUUCAUGGUAUUUUGGCACCUCAGUGUCCCAUCCUUGAACACCAGAAGCAGUCACUGUGUCCUUGAGCUGCAAUUUUAAUAAUAGCACUUGCUUCUGAGUUAUGUGCAUCAGCUGUUCACUGGCUGAUUUGAUUGGUAAUAUUGCCCAUGGGCUUGAAACUGGCCAGGAAAG